UUCUCAGAAAUCCAAGCAACUAUCCUGCACCAUUCCCAGAAAAGUUGUGGGAAGGUUGUAUGCAAAAUAACCACAGGACAAUCAAGCACUUGCCAAGCUCUAAAAACAUAUUGUUCUCAGAACGUAACUGAUAAUGGACUAGUGAUAAGAGUAUCAGGUUUAGAUACAGUGCAAUAUACAGAGAGCAUGAUCACUUUUCACAGUGAGUCACUACUUUGAAGACAUGCAACAACCUUAUCCCAUUUCAUUUUGACUGUUAUCUGCAUCAGGCACUCUAUCCAACGCAGCAGUUACUACUAUCCAACCACUAUCAAAUACAGCCAGUGCAUCCCAACCAGCCAACACAGCCACUUCAUCCAGUGCAACCACACCAUCCUGUUUGACCCGUCGAUGUCUGGCCAGCAUGCUGAUUGCGAAAGAAGCUCGGAGUCCGCCACAGUCUCCACGGUGCAUCUCAAUUAUCCGUGUGCCGUCAAUCGUGUACGAAACUCUGUCUGUCG
Oncorhynchus tshawytscha (Chinook salmon) is the source of this 500-nucleotide long non-coding RNA. RefSeq lists it as uncharacterized. The record is from RefSeq and is a predicted model, not a curated record. NCBI's taxonomy places the organism in Eukaryota, Metazoa, Chordata, Actinopteri, Salmoniformes, Salmonidae. The transcript has 2 exons.